UCUCCGUUGGUGAACCAGCAGAGGGAUCAUUAAAGAGUUCUAUAACUCCCAAACCCAUGUGAACAUACCUUACGUUGCCUCGGCAGGUCGCGCCUACCCCGUAACGUCCUACCCUGUAGGACCUACCCGGUAGACGCGGGUAAGCCUGCCGGCGGCCCACGAAACUCUGUUUAAUAUUGAAUUCUGAACCUAAAACUAAAUAAGUUAAAACUUUCAACAACGGAUCUCUUGGUUCUG
RNAcentral lists this unclassified non-coding RNA (237 nucleotides) under plant metagenome. Its description in RNAcentral is "partial contains small subunit ribosomal RNA, internal transcribed spacer 1, and 5.8S ribosomal RNA". The record is from RNAcentral.